RNAcentral lists this long non-coding RNA (1000 nucleotides) under Olea europaea subsp. europaea. The record is from RNAcentral. Lineage: Eukaryota; Viridiplantae; Streptophyta; Magnoliopsida; Lamiales; Oleaceae.
CAUGAUUUCACUCUCGAGUGUCUACUGCUUCAGCUAAUGUCCAUUUAGUGUCAAGUCUGAAGAUCAAGCAAAUUAAGCGACGAAGAUGCAAUAAACUCUUGCAUGAGCUUUUGGUGGUUUGUCAACCGCAGUUUAGCUAUUUUGAAACCAAAAAACAAAACUGAAAGUAAACUGGAAAGUGGAGGAAUCGCCAUUUAGAGGUGUAACACUUUUUAAGUAUUUUUUAAUGUCGACAGAAUGAAUCGUGCCCCUUAUAUCUGAUUUUGAUCAAUGGACAAGAGUCUUCAUAUAAAAAGAGAAAACCUUAGCCAUUCACUAACUUCUUAAUCUUUCUCCUCGCUCUCGAUCGGCUGCAAUAAUUCCUUUGUGAAAUUCCGUGUUUUCUUUAAUUCUUUGUGGACAAGUCUCUUGAUAUCUUUGCAGUUUCAUGGUAUGUUUCUUCUUCUUGAGAAGGAAACAAGGCAACUGAAUGAUGUGUAGAAUGCGGGUGACACUGAGCCCAAAACUUCUCGUGUUCCAAAAAUUGACGUUAAAACUCUCGUGUACUGAUUUAAGCAUGUUCAGUUUUAUCAUUUUUGGUUGAAAAUCGAUUUUUAUGGGUUAAUUUGUAACGCAUGUGAAAUAGAUAAAUCACCAUUUUCAGACAAUGAUACUAUCCAAUUGAAAGAUGUUACUACAGCAGUAGAAUGUUUGAUAACGUGAACUAAAUAGUACUAACGAGAUGAAAAUAUUGAACCUUGUUUAAUGUACAGCUAUUCUAUCAUAUUCAAAUUAGUGACAAACUUUUCUUUAAACUUGUAUAAUAGGCAGUCAAUUGAAAAGCUUAAGGGCACAUCUUAUGGUAUGUGUAUAUUUCUUCUCUAACAGACAUUCUCACACCAUAUAACAUAAUCGAUAACUAUUUAUAAAUAUUUACCAUAUUAGAAAAUAUUAAACUUAGAUCUUGUAUAAUAUAUUGUCAAACCGGACCAACCCUAUAUGUAUAGGGUCUUGCUUGGUG